Molecule: long non-coding RNA, 6295 nt
Filed under: Phoenix dactylifera (date palm)
Lineage: Eukaryota; Viridiplantae; Streptophyta; Magnoliopsida; Arecales; Arecaceae
Description: long non-coding RNA (PDAC_LNC008676)
Source: RNAcentral
UUGCACCUGCUGUUGCAUCUGCAUAAGGCCUACUAUGGUCUGCAUAACCUGGCCUAGGCCCGGCUCUUGUUGUCCUGUCUGAGUAUCACUAGCAGGAUUGACGACUCUCUCCUGCUGAGGAGUGUUACUAACUUGUUGGGGUGUGCUGUCAUUUUGCGGGUUGGGUGCCUUAUUAGUAGCUCUGCGAGUAGUCUUUCUCGUCCGACGUGGAGGCAUCCUGAUCUAUGUCUAUCAGAUAGCAGCAUACCAAUAAUAAGCUUACCAGUUCAUUACAAGUACAUAGAAUGGUUGUUACAAUAAUCAUAAACUAACGUUCCAAUGUUCCUAGUGUCUACCUAUCUACACUCAUGUCAUGUCAGAUUUUCUUAUCUUAGAAUUUAUCCAUUCAUGCUUUGAUACCAUAAAAGUUGUCACGCCCCCGGUCCGAGAUCGCGAGUCGGAGGUCCGCGCCAACCGCCGCACACCCGUAGAAAACUCUCCCCACGAGCAUGCAAGGCAUCUUAACCAAUAAUCUCAAUUAUAUAUAUAUAUAAAAUAAUUCAACUGAAAUAAAUGCAAUCUUACUCCAUUGACUGACCCAAAUUAUAUAGUCUCACAAUUCUAAAUAUGCAGCGGAACAAUAAAGAUAAAACAUCAAUUUAAAUAAAGCCUAAUCUAGGAUAACUUGUGCUUCAGUUCUUCUAGUCGCUCUCCCAUUUUAAAUCCCUGAUAGGUUAGUUCUAGGAAUCUGUAAAACAACAAGAAAUUGUAUAAUGAGCUAGACAACUCAGUAAGUAAUAAACACCUUACCUAGUCAAUUCAUAUAAUAACAUAAAAUAUAAAUACAAAUUACGAUGAAUCAACAUAAUAACAUAAUCAAUUCCUUUUCAAGCACAAAUUCAUUAAAAUCGUAUUUUUCAAAUAUCCAUAUACAUAAUCAUAAAUCUGAUUCGAAACAAAUCACAUUCAUCUCAUCAGCCUUUAGCUACGACCACACUUAUACCCUGUGGCUAGGUCAGAAACAGAACCGCACUUAUACCCUGCGGAGUGGGCCAGAAUACCGCACUUAUAUUCUGCGGAGUGGGCCAGAAUGCCACAUUUAUACCCUGUGGUGGGGCCAGAAUUGCCAAUGCAUAACCCCCUAUUGGCAGGGUUCAGAACAUAGCCAGGCUGAGAGUUCUAAAUCUGAUGCACAUCAAAAUUUUUUUGGUAACAUAAUACAUGUAUCAUAAUCCGAUCUCAAUAUGCAUAUACGAUGCAAGAACAGUAAAUAUAGCAAUAAUCCGAAAAAUAUUAUUCCAGUUCACAUAUUCAUUUUUCAUUCAAAUCAUCAUCUCGUAAAAUUCAUAAAUCAAAUAUAAAUUCGUUAACAAUUUAUUCAAUGCAAAAAUAAUAUUAUAUAAAUGAAGAGUCUAGAGAAGGCAGUUCGUUACUUACAUUGAACGCGAUCCACAACAAAUCCAAUUAAUCUCACAAAUUCCUCGCAGGACCUAAUAUCCAAAAAUCAUAUUUCUUUUAAAAUUAAUCAUAAUAUAUAUAAAAACUUAAAUUUAAUAUUUUUUCAUGGCCGACCCUACAAGAGUGCCUAGCACCCCGAGAUCGGGUUCGGGUUCGGGUUCAUACCCAUAGACCACCCUCUUCCCUUUAUUUUACUAUUAUUAUUAUUAUUGUCUUUUCUUUUCUUUUCUUCCCCCUUUUUUUCUUCUUUUCUUCUCUUUUCUCUCCCGACUCCCCCUCUUCUCCUUCGGUGAAACAGGGGGUCCCGUGACCCCCCCUUCUUCUUCUUCUUCCCUCUCGGUCGGACUCCGGGGCGGCCAUGGUGGCCGGCCCCAACGGCGGCAGGAGGCGGCGGAGCAAGCCCGACCACCCCUUGCGGCUGGCGGCAGCGAGCACGCCGGCGCUAACGCCUCUAGCCGAAGCGAAGCAUCCCUUUUUGGGCCAAAAUCCGGCGAUCGGCCGGCUCAAAAUCACCACCCACCAUGGCUAAUCACCAAGCAAGGAGAAGGAAAAAGCUUACCUUAGCCCCGACGAAGAUCCGGCGCCUCCCUUCCUCUCCGGCGGCAAUGAAGGAAGAGGGUCACCCGUGCUACUUGGCUCUCCCUCUUCCUCUCUCUCUCCGGUAAUGCGAAGAAAAUCUCUCCCCCUUCUCCCUGGCGGCUCUUCUCGGUGGUUUUAAGGAGGAGAGGAAGCCCUAAAAAUAGGGCUUCCUUCUUCUUCGGGAUGGAACCAGUCCAUCCCGUCGCCUCACGUGCGUCGCACGUGAGGCCGGGGUUUUGGGACUGGGCCGGUCAUUUGGACCGGCCCAGUUUCGGGGUCUUACAGUGGUGCUCAGCAAAUUUAAUAUUUUUAACAUCGAAGCUGAGAACCAACAAGAGAAGAAAAUUAAAAUUCUUAGAUCAGAUCGGGGAGGUAAAUAUACAUCUAAUGAUAUAGCUCAAUUUUGUGAAGAUCGUAGUAUCAUUCAUGAAGUGACUGCUCCCUAUUCUUCCUAAUCAAAUGGAGUAGCAGAAAGGAAGAAUAGGACUUUAAUGGAUAUGGUUAACUCCAUACUUAUAAGCUCAGGAGUACUAGAGAAUUUGUGGGGGGAAGCUCUAAUUUCAGCCUGUUAUAUCCUCAAUAAGAUUCCCUCCAAAAAUAAUGAUCUUACCCCAUAUGAAGUUUGGAAACAUAGAAAAUCUAAUGUUAGCCAUUUGAAAGUGUGGGGGUGCUUGGAAAAAGUGAAAAUACCUGAUUUUAAAAGAAAGAAAAUAGGACCUAAAAUAGUAGAUGCCAUAUUCAUAGGAUAUGCGGCCAAUAGUAAUGCCAAUAGAUUUCUGGUGAUUAAUUCAGAAAAAAAUGAUAUUAGUAACAACACUGUUAUAGAAGCUAGAGAUGCAAUAUAUUUUGAAGACACCUUUCCACUUAGGACUAGAGUAGAUAGUGGUAUACCUAGUAGCUCUAGUAGAAUAAGGACAAGAGAAAUAGAAGUAGAAGCAAAACCUAGGAGUAAGAGAUCCAGGGUAAAAAUUUUUUUUGGAGAUGACUUCUAUACCUUUCUUAUAGAGGACUCUCUAACUACUUUUGAGGACGCAAUGGAAUCCUUGGAUUCACCCUUUUGGAGAGAAGCUGUGGACAAUGACAUGCAGUCAAUUAUCCAAAAUCAUACUGGGGAACUGAUUGAUCUUUCUUUUGGCUGUAAAACUAUAGGGUGCAAAUGGAUCUUUAAGAAGAAACUUAGGCCUGAUGGCUCUGUAGAUAAAUUUAAGGCUAGAUUAGUUGCCAAAGAUUUUACUCAGAGAUCUUUGGUAGAUUUCUNNNNNNNNNNNNNNNNNNNNCUUUUGGAGAGAAGCUGUGGACAAUGACAUGCAGUCAAUUAUCCAAAAUCAUACUGGGGAACUGAUUGAUCUUUCUUUUGGCUGUAAAACUAUAGGGUGCAAAUGGAUCUUUAAGAAGAAACUUAGGCCUGAUGGCUCUGUAGAUAAAUUUAAGGCUAGAUUAGUUGCCAAAGAUUUUACUCAGAGAUCUUUGGUAGAUUUCUUUGAUGUAUAUGCACCUGUAGCUAGGAUUACUACUAUUAGGGUCCUGAUAACAUUAGCCUCCAUCCAUAGAUUAGUGAUUCAUUAGAUGGAUGUGAAAAUAGUUUUUCUAAAUGGAGACUUAAAUGAAAAAAUUUAUAUGGACCAGCCAGAGGGAUUUAUAAUUCCAAGCCAAGAAAAUAAAGUUUGCAGAUUAGUCAGAGCUCUCUAUAGUCUUAAACAAGCAUCCAAGCAAUGGUACUUAAAAUUUGAUGAAAUCAUACUGAUAUUUGGAUUUGAAAUCAAUAGUACAGAUGAAUGUGUAUACUAUAAUAGAGUUGGAAAUAAAUUUGUGAUCUUGUGCCACAGAUCUUCAAAUGGUUGAUGAAGUAAAGCAAUUCUUAUGUCAUAAGUUUGAUAUGAAAGAUUUGGGACAAGCUGACUUAAUUUUAAAUACCAAAAUAAUUAAAAGUACAAAUAGAAUUGAGUUAUCAUAAAGUCAUUAUGUUGACAAGAUUCUCAAUAAAUUAAAUUAUACCAAUUGUCAGCCUGUCUCUACUCCCUUUGAUCCCUCUACACACCUUAAGAAGAACUUAGGAAUUCCUAUCCUUCAAAUCCUAUAUGCUCAAAUCAUAGGCUUACUAAGAUUCCUAGCAAACUACACCAGACCAAAUAUAGCAUAUGCUGUAAAUAGACAUAGUAGAUAUACUAUUAAUCCAAAUGGAGAUCACUGGACAGCAUUAGAGAGGAUUCUUAGGUAUCUUAAGGGUACCAAGUCCUAUAGUUUGCAUUUUAGUGGGUUUUCUGCUUUUCUAGAAGGCUAUAGUGAUGCCAACUGGAUCAGCGAUACCUUAGAUGUUAAAUCUACCACAGGAUAUGUCUCUCCUAGGAGGUGCUGCUGUGUCUUGGAAAUCCACCAAACAAAUCUUGAUAUCUAGGAGUACCAUGGAGUCUAAACUAAUAGCUUUAGACACCACUAGCAUGAGACUGAGUGGCUUAGAGAUCUACUUAUAGACCUUUCUGUAGAUGAGUUACCUUUACUACCUGUCUUCUUACAUUGUGACUGUAAAUCUGCAAUAGUGCUACCAAGAAAAUGUGUCGGGUUAUCCCCACACGUGUUGCGACGAUCGCAGCGGAAAGAUACGUGCGGGGUUGUUCAUCGCAUGAAUGUCCCGAGGACAUAGAUUUUAAAAAAAUUCUAAGUUCUUUAACUCAGAAAAUUAUGAAAUCUAAAGGAUAGAUUAAAUUAAAAACUUGAUUAAUUUUCAGAUCUAUAUAAAACAAUUGUAAAGAUCAUAUCUUUAUCUUUGAGUGGGUAGAUCUUCACCGCUAUCUGAUGAUCGUGAAAAUCAGGUUCGCUUAAAGCCGCACAAGUGUCUGGCCUCUACGGGUAUUCACACGAAGAUCUUGCUCGAUCAAGGUCGUGAUCUCACCGGGGUGCUAGCUCCCUUGCAGAGAUCCUUUUUGAUGGUUGGAACUCCUCUAAGCAAUCAACUCUUGAUUGCUUCCAAGAGGAGGAAGAAAGAGAAGGAGAAACACUUUCUCCUUUUCUUGGAAGAAGGAAGAGGAUGCAGGGAAGAGAGGAACAUCUUCCUCUCUAUUUUUCUUCCAUGCAGCUGAUCAAGAGGAGGAAGAAGACUCCAUAUUUUGCUGCCUCUUUCUUUUCUUUGCCUUGCGGAUGGAAGAAGAAGGGGAGAGAGGGGUGGCCGCCUAUCAUGAAAAGAAACCAUAAACCCAUGAAACAAGUCUAGGGCCGGCCCCCCUUUUUUAUAGCCUUGCCCUAGGAGGAGGCCGCACCCCAACCGGGUCUCGCAUCGCGGACACCCGGGACGUGGAUCCCGGCCAACUGGGACGCGGAUCCCGGGAGUACCUAGGGAAAGGAGGGGUUCUUGCCCCUUCCUUCUAAUCCUAAUCAAAUUAGAAUUUAGGUGGCCCUUGGUUCAUUGAAUCCUAAUCUAAUUAGGACCCAAUUAGUCUCUCUAUUUGAUUCAAAAUCCUUAUCCAUAAGAUUAAAUCAAUUGUGACUCUUGGAGUCCUAAUAAUUAGGACCUAAUUGGAUCAUGACUCGAUUAAACUCUUCAAUCCUAAUCCAAUUAGGAGUCAUCUUCAUCUAUUAGACCAAUAAUUAAUUAGGACUCUAGGAGUCCUAAUCCAAUUAGGACUCAUAUAAUCUGAGUCCUAAUCCAAUUAGGACUUUAGGAAUCCUACUCCAAGUAGGACUCUAAUAAUUUGAAGUCCUAAUCCAAUUAGAACUCUAGGAGUCCUACUCCAAGUAGGACUUUUGAACUUUAUCAAAUAAGAUCGAGCCCAAUUAAUUAAGUCCAAUUAAUUCAAUCAAAUUAUAAUCCGAUUGCAAUUAUUUCUUCUUCAACUCACUAAUUCUUAGUGGGUUAAACCAAUUGAUAAUUACAAACUAUUAUGAUUCCAAAUCACAAUCCAACAAUUAGAUCGAUUAGAUCAUCUAUUGUGUGUGACCCCAUAGGUUCUAUUCUGUCUGGUAGUGAGAUAUAUUGUGAUCUCUAUCACAACAUCAUUGAAACUCUUUUCAAUGGGUUGGAACAAUUUCAACUCUUCUCAUUCGAGUUCACUGAUCACCAAGUGAAUGCCUUUGAGUCUCACAAUCCACCAGUGACACCUAGCAGCAUGUCGGGGCAACCCAGCAGAAUGGAAUGAUGAACCUCUAGGUGCAGUUAGUGUAUGAUACAGUUUCUCUAUUAUGGAUUUCGACAGGAUGGAGGUCAUAAAUAACUCGUCAAACCUCAUCAUCUGUCAUAUGUAAAAUUUAUUCGACUCUAGUUCGAGAUUGGAAACUCUUUUUCAAA